RNAcentral lists this long non-coding RNA (5499 nucleotides) under Sus scrofa (pig). Its description in RNAcentral is "lncRNA (ENSSSCG00000055882.1)". Lineage: Eukaryota; Metazoa; Chordata; Mammalia; Artiodactyla; Suidae. The record is from RNAcentral.
AACUAGGAAGAUUAGAGGUAACCACAGCAUCACUUGAGGAACUCAGGAUUUUCCAGCCUUGAGCAUAUUAGGAACUGCAGGUGUAUUUCCAUGCUUCCUUUCAAGGGUUAACCUUAUUUUAGUCCACAUCUUCAUGCUAGUACAAAACACCAAGAAUUGCCUGUCAUGUGUGGCAAAAGGCCAAACCUACCUGACCCUGCUGACUUAGCAAGUACUAAAAUAACUAAGAAUAGAAAACUUGUAAGAUUUUCUUCAAGUCCAAGAUGAUCAAAAAUGCAUUUGCACUUCCAUACUGUCUGGCUGCACACAGAAUAAUAAAACAACUGGAUGGUUAACAAAUGAGCAUGUUUGGGCAUGAAAUCAACUAGACAAUGAGAUGAAUUCUUCAGUGACUUUAAGACGAUGUAUACUCAUUCUCUUUUUAAUUGUCACUUAGCAAUACAGUUGUGUCCCAUUUCCAUUUGGUCCUCUUCUUGGUAGAUUUUUGUUAUAGUGUUUUUUUUUUCCCUCAUCUCUCCUCUGAUAAUGUCCUAUAUAGUAAGAGAAGUUAGCAGAUUAUUGAAGGUGUUUGGGGGAUCAUAUCAAUGUGAGAUAUCCACAUACAUCAUUUAAUACUGUCAACAAGUUGACCACUCAGACCGAUUUUAGUAUUCAUUCUGCAGUCUUUUAAUAUUGCUUGUUUUUAGGCUCCCCUAUUUAGAGUGGUCAGUGACAAAAGUCAUUCGGGAAAUAACACACUAUUUGUGGGUAGUUUUAUUUUGGUGAAUGAUUUUGGUGGCUAAUUUAUUUCCUUUUUAUUUAAAUGUCUCAGGAAUUGAAAAUGGCUUUUUUUGCAUAAAAUCAAAUGGAAAAUAAUCUCAAUUCUUCAGAUCAAAGAGCUGAAGCAAAGGAAAGUUUUUUGAUACAUAUGCAUAUUCUUAUACGUAGCACAUGUGAUAGAAAAUGAAAAGUUAUAGCUUCAUUUUCUUGUAUCUCUAGGAAGCUAUAAAAGUGCAUAUGUGACUCAGGUCAUCUCAUAAAGAAAAAAUAAUAUGCAACAUAUAAAAUACAGAGAUGUUUAAUGGGAUUAUAAAAUCUGGACUACCUACUUAUUUUCUAGUAGCAAAUUUAUUCAUUAUUGUCACUAUUAAUAAUAGCAAUAUCAUUAUGAAUCUGUGCAUAUAUUAAGAGACCCACUAUUUGCAUUAUCUGCAAAAGAUAAUUUUCCCUUUGGGAUUUAAUUGUGGCUUUUGAAGGAGAGAAGUGAAAUCAUUUUGAAAUGCUGACAGAUUCAUACCUUUCUGCUCCUGGGUCUAACACUCAUUAAUAUUUAUGUGAGGAUUUUACUUUCUGUGAGAGAGUAGUGGGUUAAAUAGAAGACGGGGUGAUGUGAGAGAGUAGUGGGUUACAUAGAAAAGUGGUAUGCAGUGCAGUACUCUAACAUGGGGAUCAGUGUCCAGUUUGGGAAGAGGAAAGAGUUACCCUUUGUGGAAGAAAAUACUCCAUGUUUUGUUGUUGUUUUUGUUUGUUCGUUUGUUUGUUUUGCCCAUAAGUGCAAUGGAGGGCGAAUGGAGGUCUGUCUCUUCAUGUAACUCAGGAGGUCCCUGGUAAAUUAAUUGAAGAGAGAUCUGGAGACUUAGGAUAACUGUAAGAAUAGCAGGUUUAUUUUUGCUCCAUUAUUUGUGACUGUGUUUAUUUAUUGGCACCAAAUGCAUCUUGCCUUAGUCUUGGCCUAGUGUGGCAUUCUCUUGUGCUUGGUUUCUUUGAAAUCAGCACAAGCUGUUGAGGCUACAGUAAUAGUUUAAAGUGAGGUGCUUUAAACUUUUUGGUCUCUUUUGAUGGUGCACACCUUGACACAUUGUAAGAGUUUCAUACUACUAAGUAGUGAUUUUUUGUUAGCCGUGGCAAACUAGUUAUUAACAGAAGUGGAUGUAUCAAGGAGGGAUGCACAGACCUUAAUUUCUACAGAGAAUACAAUCUGGAUCAAAUUUCAGAUCAUGUGUAUGUGUUUGUGUGUGUGUGUGCGCACUCAUGUGUGUUUAAUAAUUAGAGAAUUUUCCAUUGUCGUUUAAGAGAUCUCGUGACUAAUUGGAUGAAGAAUCACCAGGACUGGGACAAGUGAUGAUAAGAAAGAGAGUUCAAUAUAAAGCUGUCUCUCAUAUGAGUCAUAAACUGAAGUCCUGACAUAGAAUCUUGGAUACUUUUCUGAGUCAGUUCUGAACCAUUGCCCCGUUCCAGUAAUAGCAUGGGGAUAAAAUAAAACAUCCUCCAAGGAGGCAUUUAGUGGUGAGCUAAGGCUGAGAGCCUUCAAGGACAUUUAUCUCCAUAGUAGCAACGUUUGACUCUUUGUGGUUUCCACAAAUCUCUGUAAAAGGCAUUGAUCGCCACUGUCAGUAUGAUUAGAGGAAGCACUGAUGCAUAGCAUGUUUAUGAUUAAAAAAACAAGAAACAAUUCAUGCACUUAACGCAUGUCAUGAGGAGGAUUUCACUCUCCUGGGAAGAGAUAAAUUUUUUUUAAAGUACUUUCUAUUUUUGAUGUUUUUCUCACAUAGCUUUUUUUGUUAUUUAAGGUGUAUCCCAGUCUGAGGACCAAGCAAGUGGCACUUACUCCGUGACCUUAACCAAUUCACUUGACUUCUCUCAUCCUCAUCAUCCAUGUCUUUAAAAUGAGAUUGUUGUUUCUUGAAUAUGUUCUCCAUCUCCAAAAUUUGUGGAAUUCUAUGAUAUAGCCAUUGUUCUACAUCGCUCUUCUGAUAUGCAAUUCAGGAUUUACCCUGAAAAAAUCAGGUGUUAGUGGAAUGAUUAUUAAACAUUUAGCCUACCUCCAGCAUUUGUUGAACACCUAUUAUGUAUUUGAAUUCAUUAGUUACCCUUGAAAGAAAUGUAGAAAACUAAAUUGUAUGAUGCAUCGUCUUUGACCUCCGAGAUAUUAAAUAAGUAUGUAAUGUGGGGAAGAAAAUGUUAAAUCCCAUAAGUAAGUUGCAAAGACUAUUAUCAACAUCCCACUAUUGACAUUUCAGACAAAUGGAUGAUUCUUUGUUGUGGAAUACUUUCUGUGCAUUUUACUAUACUUGGUGCUAUCAAUAGCCCAAUUAGAUGCCAAUAGCAUCCCUCUAUUUGUGAUAACCAAAAAUGUCUCUAAAGAUUCCAAAAUGUUCCCUGAGAAUCAAAAUUGCCCUGGUUUGGUAACCAUUGCACUAGAGGAGAACCAUAAUAUCUGUGGAACUUUCAGAGAAGGCUCAUUAGAGAGGAUUCAUUUGACCUGGGUCUCAAAUUAUGAGGGAUUAGAAGAUUGCAAAUACAGAUCAUAGUCAUAUUGAUUCUAUGCCAUUGGGAGCAUGCAAAAUUUUGAGGUGAUAAUGAGAUAGGAGUUACUAUAAAUAAGGAUAAUGAUUGAGCAUAGUCUUUGGAGUAGGACAAAAUUAGAUUCUAGUCCUGGACCCAAAACUUUACUGGUCAUGUGACCAUGGUCAGGCAAUCUCAUAGUUUUUGCCUGUGAUGAUGAUAAUCUGUAAAGUCCUUAGCACUGUGUCUGCCACAGAAGACAUGCAACCACAGGGUGACUCAUACAUCAGACACAGGGUCUUGACACCCUAAAGUUGGCCCAUGAGUUCUGGAUUGUGUUGCAAGUAUCUUGUUACUCAUAGUGAAAUACUAACAUGUGAGUGAUUUAAUUUUAUAUUCAUUAGAUUCCAUAAUGUUUCUAAUAAGGACACUCUAUCUCACCAAUAUGCUUUCUUGAGUAUUAGAGAAAAUGUGGAGUUAAAGCCAACAAUUGCAAAUGGAACUUAACCUUGCAUGUGUUCAUGGAAGUGGAUCACAAACAAAUGUCGAUCUUAUUGUCAUCAGGAUUGACAACUACUGCUUAAGCAAUUUCUCUGGCUGGGAUUAACAGGCACUACCCUGGCUGAAGAAGUAUAAGAGUUUUCUGUUCCAAAAUGAGCUUGAGAAAUGGAAGUCAGCCCUCAGUUACAUGGUCUUCAUAAUGUUGGACAGGGACACUUGGGACAUUUAAGUAUCUGGUUCUGGGCCUUUGCUUGAGCACCAAUCAGAGGAAAGGAGUAGGACAUGGAAUUAGAAUCCUGGAUAUGGCAUAUAAAUAUUAAUUGAUUGUAGAGAUAUAGCUUUUAAUAUUUUUCAAUAAACUGUAGUUACCUAUUCAAAUUAUUUGGUUAACACUGCCUUGAUUCAGGGAAUUGUAGAGAUUAAAAUCCAGUUUCCAGUUUUGAAACUUCUAUACCUACAAGUGUAUUCAAGUCUAGAAAUAAAUGGUCAUGCUAGAGCUAAAUUCAGCCAAAUUCAUAUAAUGCUUAAAACUAAAAGUAUUCAAUUCCCCAAGGACAGUAUCUUUUCAAACACUGAAUAUGUAAUUCCAGUGAGGAAGGAUUUUGCUACAUGACCUGUUGAGCUUGAACCUCUUUUCAAGGCUUACUACUUUAUGGCACUGCUGCUUCAAGUAGGGUAUUACACUGGUGCUAAACCCUGCAACACACAUAUGUGACUAUUGCUAAUAGGUGGCAGCUCCAGCCAUGGCUACUUAACCAUCCCUGGAGAGGUUUGCCUGAGGACAAAGGUGAUACAUUUCACAACAGAAGAUUAAUUGCAUAAGUUCUGUGUGACAUGACAUCCCAUGGGACUUAAGAGUAUGUUUAUGGUGUUAUAAAGCAUACUGUAAAUAUCAGAUUCGGCUUUGGCUGUGAUUCUGCCAAACAUGGGGCUAAUGUCAUUUGUCAUAUUCAGACAUAGCCUUUAAAAGAAAAUUCUUGUUCAGGCUGCUACCAGGGUGUGAUAUGUUUGAUAGCUCUGAGGAAAUUUUUGUUUUUAUAAUAGGAUGAUAUAGAAACAGAGAGACAGAGGGAAGGGAGGUGGGGAAGUGGGCCAUGGGAUGGAGCAAAAACAUCACUCAAGGGAAUGGGAAAAUUGUCUUGCUGUUUGAUUAAUGAAAGUUACUAGAGAGAUGUUCUUAUGUCUUCCAAGACUCUCAUCUGUUGACCUAUGCUUAAUGGAAAAUCUGUGAGAGAAGAGAACCCUACUGAGAGAAAACAACCUCAGAACCUACCAGGAAGGGGUUAGGUAUCUCUGGUGUUUAACUGCUAUACUUUGGGUUUUUCACUGGGAGGAAAAAAGUGAAUUGUUGGGACUGAGGGCAUGUAGUGAGAAAAAUAACUAAACCAUUUCACUGUUGUCCAAUUAUUAGCAUACGAGACGGUUUCACAACUUCCUACCAUUUGGCUUUAGAUUGGAUCUAAGAGUAAGCAUUUGAAUUAAAUCUGUUAUCUUUGGAGUUCCUGUGGUGGUGCAGUGGUUAACUAAUCCGACUAGGAACCAUGAGGUUGUGGGUUCCGUCCCUGGCCUUGCUCAGUGGGUUAAGGAUCCCUAGUUGCCGUGAGCUGUGGUGUAGGUUGCAGACCUGGCUCAGAUCCCGUGUUGCUGUGGCUCUGGUGUAGGCCAAUGGCUACAGCUCCAGUUAAACCCCUGGCCUGGGAACCUCCCUAUGCCGUGGGAGCGGCCCUAGAAAAG